UACAGAGGGGGCGAGCGUUGUUCGGAAUUACUGGGCGUAAAGGGCGCGUAGGCGGCCAACUAAGUCGGACGUGAAAUCCCCUGGCUCAACCAGGGAACUGCGUCCGAUACUGGAUGGCUCGAAUCCGGGAGAGGGAUGUGGAAUUCCAGGUGUAGCGGUGAAAUGCGUAGAUAUCUGGAGGAACACCGGUGGCGAAGGUGGCAUCCUGGACCGGUAGUGACUAUGAGGCGCGAAAGCCAGGGGAGCAAACGGG
Molecule: ribosomal RNA, 253 nt
Filed under: uncultured bacterium
Lineage: Bacteria
Description: partial 16S ribosomal RNA
Rfam family: Bacterial small subunit ribosomal RNA
Source: RNAcentral